This 328-nucleotide ribosomal RNA is filed under the name uncultured Turicibacter sp. RNAcentral's name for it is "bacterial SSU rRNA". It matches the Rfam family "Bacterial small subunit ribosomal RNA", at positions 568 to 898 of the family's 1533-position model. The record is from RNAcentral. Lineage: Bacteria; Bacillati; Bacillota; Erysipelotrichia; Erysipelotrichales; Turicibacteraceae.
CGCGCAGGUGGUUGAUUAAGUCUGAUGUGAAAGCCCACGGCUUAACCGUGGAGGGUCAUUGGAAACUGGUCGACUUGAGUGCAGAAGAGGGAAGUGGAAUUCCAUGUGUAGCGGUGAAAUGCGUAGAGAUAUGGAGGAACACCAGUGGCGAAGGCGGCUUCCUGGUCUGUAACUGACACUGAGGCGCGAAAGCGUGGGGAGCAAACAGGAUUAGAUACCCUGGUAGUCCACGCCGUAAACGAUGAGUGCUAAGUGUUGGGGGUCGAACCUCAGUGCUGAAGUUAACGCAUUAAGCACUCCGCCUGGGGAGUACGGUCGCAAGACUGAA